Molecule: long non-coding RNA, 2737 nt
Organism: Dermochelys coriacea (leatherback sea turtle)
Lineage: Eukaryota; Metazoa; Chordata; Testudines; Dermochelyidae
Exons: 3
Source: RefSeq, a predicted model, not a curated record
CCCGUGGCCACUUCCUGGGCAGCUCCUGGAAGGGAAGUCAUGCCCACGCUGCCCCACCCACUCCAGGUUGGAGCCUGGCCCCCAGUCAGCCCCUUGGCAGCUCCCUAGGGUGGGUGAGGUCAGUCACCAGUGCUUCCCUGGGCAGCAGGGGCACAGCUCGCCGGUGGGACUGUGAGGCCCACACUGCCUUUCCAGCCAGCUUGGUGGGUGCCUGGCCAGCCUGCGCCCAGAGUACGGGGUGCAUAGGGGGUUAGACCAAGCCUGCCCUCUCCCUUGGGGGUUUGCAAAGUACGUUAAUUGUGGCGACAUGGUAAGGGCGUUUGGCCAUCUCUGCCGGGGCCAGGGGCACUGGGGUGUGCCCCCAGGAGCAAGGGGCAGCCCUACAGCAGGAUUUUCUGCAUACAGCGCCUGGCUCUGGCCAAACGAGGGUCUCGCUGGCAGAGGGCCCGUCUCUAGAGCACCCAUGGGGCAGCGUGGGUCGUGCAAGGUAGGCAGAGCUCGCUGUUACCAGGUCAGAGCCCUCUGGCCCUGAAAUGUGCUUUUAUAAACAGCAUGGAACCCUUCCCGAGGCAGCAGCCUGGUCUCUUGCAGCCCCCAAGGCUCGCCCCCCUCCGGCCCCUGGCUGCUCUCCUCUGGGCAGGGGCCCAGCCCGGAGCUCAGCUCUACCUGCUGGGAGCAGCCUGUUCCUGUGAGCAGGCCAGAAGAGUGCAGGGAGCCCUGCGCUCCAGAGACACGUUCUAGCCCCCGCGGCCUCUCCAUGCCUGUGCUGCCCCCACCCAGGCUCCACCCAACGCAGAAUCACUGCGGGGCAGCCACCAGGGGCUGGCAGAGGGAGCCCUGGUGGAGCACGUGCAGCACACUGGAGACCUGGGUGACGAUGAGGUGGAUCCCAGCAAGGCCUCCAGCCCUGUCCCUGCACCCCAGUUGCUGUGCAGCUCAGGUCAACAUCACCCCUCUCUGCACCUCAGUUUCCCUGGCUGCAGCCUGGGGGUGAGAACCCCUUUCAGUGGCCACCAGGGCAGUAGGUGCAAGGAGUAGUGAUGGUCCAGGCAUUAGAGCUUGUGCCCUUGGGGGGCAGAUGCCCCAGGGCACCUAGGAGCCCCAGCCCAGCAGAUCCGGGCUGUGGAGCUGCUCCUGCCCCCACCCCCAUCACCUUGUUCCCAAGUCCGAGCCUCCCCCACCACUGCUGUCUGGAGAAACCUUCCCAGGCUCCUUCCCCUCCCCUGGCCCCGGCAUUCCUGCUAAAAUUAGCUGCUGUCCAUUUCCGGCAGCAUCUGACCUGCCCCAUCAGUCACUCGCUGCUUCCUGCAUUUGGGGGGCAGGGGGGUGCUCCUGGUGGUUCUGGGCUGGCUGCCAGCAGGGUAGGCCAGCCCACUGUGGUUAGUCCAGUCAGCCACAAGCCAGGACCAUGGGGUGGCUCCCAGCCCGCUGGGGUUUGGGUUGCUUUCAAAGUCCAUGGCAAGUUACACCCCCCCUCCCCAGCCUCGUGAGCCAGGGCUGCCCUUCGCUCUGCGCCCCAGCCCGCUCUGCGGUUCGUUCACUGCCUUGUAUAAAUGCCCAGGGCACGCGGGGAUGUGCUUGCUGGAGCUGGCAAGGUGCCCCCCCGGGCCGCCCCCCCUUAGCCCCUCGGCCAGCAUGAAGGAGCCACCCCAUGGCUCUCACUUCCAGGAGCUGGCACUGAUCCUGUGGCAGCCCAGAGCCACCUGCCUACGAUGGUGCAGUGCCACACGGCCCCAAGGGGCCAACCACUCAGCCUGCUGCAUGGGAACAACUGGCUGCGGGCAGUGAAGGGCUAGGGCCCAGCCCAGCCUUAGGUGGGCCGAACAGCAGGAGCUGUGCUGAGCCCGGUCCAGCCCAGAGCUCCCCAUACCAGGCCCCAGCUUCGCUGCAUGCUCCUGGGACAGCCCUCAAACAGCAUUUCGGCAGCAGCCCCCCGCCUUUGAGUGUGUGGGAGAAGAACGAGACCUUCCCCUGCCUGAGGACACAGCCCCCCUCCGUCCCAGCCCACUGUACAGAAAUAGCUCAUUCCCACCAGGGCCCAGCCCCCUCCCCCCCCACAGCCAGCUGUAACAGGACCCAGAUGUUUUCCAGAUGUGCCCUGCCGGCCCCAGGGCGAGCAGGCUGCCAAGAAUGCAAAGAGGCUUGUGUCGACCUGCACCGAGCUGAUAAACAAGGGCAGGGGGCUGGGUGCCAGGUGGGGCCCCCCCAGGAGUGAAGCCUCAGGGGGGCAGGGGUACCAGGCUGACAGCAAGGAGGAGAUGGGUUCUGCCAAGCCAGGACCCAGGAAGCAGCUUCCUGGGGAGGCUGCCGUGGAAAGGAGGGAGGUGGAAGGGAUGCCUGGAGCCUUUGUGGCAGAUCCAAAGGAGCAGAUGCGACUGCCCAGCCAGGAGGGGCUGGCGGGAGCCGGGAAAGCACUAGGACACAGACUGCUCUUUAACCAGGCAAAGAAAACCCAAACUGGCCUCGCCUGGGUAUUUCUCACCUCCCCCCCGGACUGAGAAAUACAUGGCCUGGAGCUCACCUGACAAGCUGGCCGGCAGCGAGCUCCUGGCUUUCAGGCUGACCCCUCUCCCCAGCACUUUGCCUGUGGCUGGACUGUUCCAAAUCAGCGUGUCAGGGACCAGCUCUCCCCUCAAGUUUGUACAGCACCUUGCGCGUCACAGAUGCUGUUGACACUACAGCAGCCAGGCAGCGGCUAAGAUUUGUAUAAAAAUAGUUUAUUAAAAUUUUACACAUA